Molecule: ribosomal RNA, 253 nt
Filed under: uncultured Eubacteriales bacterium
Lineage: Bacteria; Bacillati; Bacillota; Clostridia; Eubacteriales
Description: uncultured Clostridiales bacterium partial 16S ribosomal RNA
Rfam family: Bacterial small subunit ribosomal RNA
Source: RNAcentral
UACGUAGGGGGCAAGCGUUAUCCGGAUUUACUGGGUGUAAAGGGAGCGUAGACGGUUGUAUAAGUCUGGAGUGAAAGCCCGGGGCCCAACCCCGGGACUGCUUUGGAAACUGUAUAGCUGGAGUGCAGGAGAGGGAAGUGGAAUUCCAUGUGUAGCGGUGAAAUGCGUAGAGAUAUGGAGGAACACCAGUGGCGAAGGCGGCUUCCUGGUCUGCAACUGACACUGAGGCGCGAAAGCGUGGGGAGCAAACAGG